Molecule: ribosomal RNA, 803 nt
Filed under: uncultured Mycobacterium sp.
Lineage: Bacteria; Bacillati; Actinomycetota; Actinomycetes; Mycobacteriales; Mycobacteriaceae
Description: bacterial SSU rRNA
Rfam family: Bacterial small subunit ribosomal RNA
Source: RNAcentral
UGGGCGUAAAGAGCUCGUAGGUGGUUUGUCGCGUUGUUCGUGAAAUCUCACGGCUUAACUGUGAGCGUGCGGGCGAUACGGGCAGACUUGAGUACUGCAGGGGAGACUGGAAUUCCUGGUGUAGCGGUGGAAUGCGCAGAUAUCAGGAGGAACACCGGUGGCGAAGGCGGGUCUCUGGGCAGUAACUGACGCUGAGGAGCGAAAGCGUGGGGAGCGAACAGGAUUAGAUACCCUGGUAGUCCACGCCGUAAACGGUGGGUACUAGGUGUGGGUUUCCUUCCUUGGGAUCCGUGCCGUAGCUAACGCAUUAAGUACCCCGCCUGGGGAGUACGGCCGCAAGGCUAAAACUCAAAGAAAUUGACGGGGGCCCGCACAAGCGGCGGAGCAUGUGGAUUAAUUCGAUGCAACGCGAAGAACCUUACCUGGGUUUGACAUGCACAGGACGCCGGCAGAGAUGUCGGUUCCCUUGUGGCCUGUGUGCCGGUGGUGCAUCGGCGUGUCGUCAGCUUCGUGUUCGUGACGAUGCUUGCGGUUAAGUCCCGCAACGAGCNNGCAACCCCUUGUUCUCAUGCUUGCCAGCGCGGUAAUGCCGGGGACUCGUGAGAGACUGCGCGGGGUCAACUCGGACGGAACGGUGGGGAUGACGUCAAGUCAUCAUGCCCCUUAUGUCCAGGGCUUCACACAUGCUACAAUGGCCGGUACAAAGGGCUGCGAUGCCGCGAGGUUAAGCGAAUCCUUUUAAAGCCGGUCUCAGUUCGGAUCGGGGUCUGCAACUCGACCCCGUGAAGUCGGAGUCGCUAGUA